UCUGCGCGGAGCAUGGAAGACCCGGGGGGUGCAACCAACUUUCGCGGCUUACGAUUAAGAGAACACCCUGCACGGAGCAUGGAAGACCCGGGGGGUGCAACCAACUUUCGUGGCUUACGGUUAAGAGAACACCCUGCACGGAGCAUGGAGGGCCCGGAUGGCACAACCAACUUUCGUGGCUUACGGUCAAGAGAACACCCUGCA
This 204-nucleotide long non-coding RNA is filed under the name Salvia miltiorrhiza (redroot sage). Its description in RNAcentral is "long non-coding RNA (SMIL_LNC008630)". The record is from RNAcentral. Lineage: Eukaryota; Viridiplantae; Streptophyta; Magnoliopsida; Lamiales; Lamiaceae.